Molecule: long non-coding RNA, 1043 nt
Filed under: Anser cygnoides (Swan goose)
Lineage: Eukaryota; Metazoa; Chordata; Aves; Anseriformes; Anatidae
Description: lncRNA (ENSACDG00005008974.1)
Source: RNAcentral
AUGCUUGGGUCCUACCGAAAGAGAAAAAAACCAUUGGGAUGCGAAGUGUCUUGGAAAGAAUGCAGAGUCUACUCUGAGGAGCUUGCAGUACUGAGAUCUACUCCCGCACUAGGCCAUGUUUAUUCAUCAAAUGGAGAAACACUCCCUGUGUCAGAGAUAUUAUCUGCAUUAGUCAUCAGUACGUGCGGUGCAGAGACCUUUCUGUGCUGCAGAGGAGCCUGCAGCACAACCAAGGUAUGUGGGGAAAACUGCCUCUGCAAGAGAACAUCAGCUCUUUUUCCUCCUCACUGAACAUCCUGUGUGCUCCCCUCAGGACUCAUGACAGCUCAGUGGGGAAGAGUAGGUGAAUGUAGCCAGAUAAAGCAGAACAAGUUUGCUUUAGUAAGAUCUGGGUGGGAGAGUUGUCCUUGGCUCAUGGGCUUAUGAUAAUCACAAGUAGUUGUACCAUUAAAAAUGGAAGCAAUAUAACUUUGUAUUUUUCUCUUAACAAGACUGAAAAAAUCAGUGGAAAAAAAGGGAAAAAAGUCUCUCUAGGUUCAGUAAAUGAAAACAGAAGGAGGGAAUAUAAUAAUGUACAGCCACAGCUCUUCCUCAAUGUAGCAGCAGCAUCUGUUAAAAUGCAGGACUCUUAAAACUGGCAAAGAGCUUCGAAAGCCUGGUUGAACCACAAAACAGGUACAUAUCAGAGAGAUGAUGGCUUCAGUUUGUUGGAAUAAGGUUUCCCAUUAACUGCUGAAGUACCACAGUCUGUGGAUUCUGGUUUUUUUUCCUCUUCUCAUUUUCCUCUGCUUUUUCUCCAGUGACUUUCAGUUGUGUUAAAAACUAGUGUUCGGUCCUCUGAAGUAUCCAUUGGCUUUGACUGGUGUUAUAAGCCACCUUGUGAUGGGCUGUAGUAGAAAUAGUUGCCACAGGAGGUGAACGCAAGGUGAGAUAAAAACUGAACAAAAAUAUGGCAUUGUUCUUUUUAAACUGCAAAUUCAAGUCCAAGGUGUGAACAGCAAAACCUUCAAAUAAUAAAUGUGCAGACAAAUCUUUCGGAUGCA